This 400-nucleotide ribosomal RNA is filed under the name uncultured delta proteobacterium CE52. RNAcentral's name for it is "bacterial SSU rRNA". It matches the Rfam family "Bacterial small subunit ribosomal RNA", at positions 539 to 937 of the family's 1533-position model. Lineage: Bacteria; Deltaproteobacteria. The record is from RNAcentral.
CGUUAUUCGGAUUUACUGGGCGUAAAGGGCGCGUAGGCGGUCUGAUAAGUCAGUUGUGAAAGCCCGGGGCUCAACCCCGGAAGUGCAAUUGAAACUGUCAGGCUUGAGUAUGGUAGGGGGAAGUGGAAUUCCUGGUGUAGCGGUGAAAUGCGUAGAUAUCAGGAGGAACACCGGUGGCGAAGGCGGCUUCCUGGACCAAUACUGACGCUGAGGCGCGAAGGUGUGGGUAGCAAACAGGAUUAGAUACCCUGGUAGUCCACACAGUAAACGGUGAUCACUAGGUGUUGCGGGUAUUGACCCCUGCAGUGCCGGAGCUAACGCAUUAAGUGAUCCGCCUGGGGAGUACGGUCGCAAGAUUAAAACUCAAAGGAAUUGACGGGGGCCCGCACAAGCGGUGGAG